RNAcentral lists this ribosomal RNA (252 nucleotides) under uncultured bacterium. Its description in RNAcentral is "partial 16S ribosomal RNA". It matches the Rfam family "Bacterial small subunit ribosomal RNA", at positions 524 to 776 of the family's 1533-position model. The record is from RNAcentral.
UACGUAGGGGCUAGCGUUGUCCGGAAUCAUUGGGCGUAAAGCGCGCGUAGGCGGCCCGGUAAGUCCGCUGUGAAAGUCAAAGGCUCAACCUUUGAAUGUCAGCGGAUACUGCCGGGCUAGAGUCCGGAAGAGGCGAGUGGAACUCCUGGUGUAGCGGUGGAAUGCGCAGAUAUCAGGAAGAACACCAACGGCGAAGGCAGCUCGCUGGGACGGAACUGACGCUAAGGCGCGAAAGCGUGGGGAGCGAACAGG